UACGGAGGGUGCGAGCGUUGUCCGGAAUCACUGGGCGUAAAGGGCGCGUAGGUGGUCUGCUAAGCGUGCGGUGAAAGCCCGGGGCUCAACCCCGGGUCUGCCGUGCGAACUGGUGGACUAGAGCACUGUAGAGGCAGGUGGAAUUCCGGGUGUAGCGGUGGAAUGCGUAGAGAUCCGGAAGAACACCGGUGGCGAAGGCGGCCUGCUGGGCAGUUGCUGACACUGAGGCGCGACAGCGUGGGGAGCAAACAGG
RNAcentral lists this ribosomal RNA (253 nucleotides) under uncultured bacterium. Its description in RNAcentral is "partial 16S ribosomal RNA". It matches the Rfam family "Bacterial small subunit ribosomal RNA", at positions 524 to 776 of the family's 1533-position model. The record is from RNAcentral.